Molecule: unclassified non-coding RNA, 594 nt
Filed under: uncultured fungus
Lineage: Eukaryota; Fungi
Description: sequence contains ITS1, 5.8S rRNA gene and ITS2
Rfam family: 5.8S ribosomal RNA (bases 219-372)
Source: RNAcentral
CUUGGUCAUUUAGAGGAAGUAAAAGUCGUAACAAGGUCUCCGUUGGUGAACCAGCGGAGGGAUCAUUACCGAGUUUACAACUCCCAAACCCCUGUGAACAUACCUUUAUGUUGCCUCGGCGGAUCAGCCCGCGCCCCGUAAAACGGGACGGCCCGCCGCAGGAACCACAAAACUCUGAUAUUAGUGUAACUUCUGAGUCUAAAAAACAAAUAAAUCAAAACUUUCAACAACGGAUCUCUUGGUUCUGGCAUCGAUGAAGAACGCAGCAAAAUGCGAUAAGUAAUGUGAAUUGCAGAAUUCAGUGAAUCAUCGAAUCUUUGAACGCACAUUGCGCCCGCCAGUAUUCUGGCGGGCAUGCCUGUUCGAGCGUCAUUUCAACCCUCAAGCCCCCGGGUUUGGUGUUGGGGAUCGGGCUGUACUCCAGCCCGGCCCCGAAAUCUAGUGGCGGUCUCGCUGCAGCCUCCAUUGCGUAGUAGCUAACACCUCGCAACUGGAACGCGGCGCGGCCAAGCCGUUAAACCCCCAACUUCUGAAUGUUGACCUCGGAUCAGGUAGGAAUACCCGCUGAACUUAAGCAUAUCAAUAAGCGGAGGA